UCGAUGCAACGCGUAGAACCUUACCAGGGUUUGAAAGGCAAGUGACCGUCGAUGAAAGUCGUUCUGGUAGCAAUACCCACUUGUACAGGUGCUGCAUGGCUGCCCCCCCCCCCCCUCCCGUGAGGUGUUAGGUUAAGUCCUGCAACGAAGCGCAACCCCUGCACUUAGUUGCCAUCAGGUAAUGCUGGGCACUUUAAGUGGACUGCUUACGCAAGUAGUGAGGAAGGCGGGGAUGACGUCAAGUCCUCAUGGCCCUUACACCCAGGGCCACACACGUGCUACAAUGGUUGGUACAAAGGGCUGCUAAGCCGCAAGCCCGAGCCAAUCCCAAAAAACCAACCUCAGUUCGGAUUGGGGUCUGCAACUCGAGAGACAUGAAGCUGGAAUUGCUAGUAAUCGCGGAUCAGCACGCCGCGGUGAAUACGUUCCCGGGCCUUGUACACACCGCCCGUCAAGCCAUGGAAACUGGGGGUACCCGAAAUUAAUUAUGUUAACCGCAAGGAGACAGGCGUCUAAGGUUAAACCCAUCACGAGAACUAAAAAAAAAGAGAAUGAAAGACUAGAC
This 565-nucleotide ribosomal RNA is filed under the name uncultured soil bacterium. Its description in RNAcentral is "partial small subunit ribosomal RNA". It matches the Rfam family "Bacterial small subunit ribosomal RNA", at positions 951 to 1533 of the family's 1533-position model. The record is from RNAcentral.